GACGAACGCUGGCGGCGUGCCUAAUACAUGCAAGUUGAGCGCUGAAGGUUGGUACUUGUACCAACUGGAUGAGCAGCGAACGGGUGAGUAACGCGUGGGGAAUCUGCCUUUGAGCGGGGGACAACAUUUGGAAACGAAUGCUAAUACCGCAUAAAAACUUUAAACACAAGUUUUAAGUUUGAAAGAUGCAAUUGCAUCACUCAAAGAUGAUCCCGCGUUGUAUUAGCUAGUUGGUGAGGUAAAGGCUCACCAAGGCGAUGAUACAUAGCCGACCUGAGAGGGUGAUCGGCCACAUUGGGACUGAGACACGGCCCAAACUCCUACGGGAGGCAGCAGUAGAGAAUCUUCGGCAAUAGACGAAAGUCUGACCGAGCAACGCCGCGUGAGUGAAAAAGGUUUUCGGAUCGUAAAACUCUGUUGGUAGAGAAGAACGUUGGUGAGAGUGGAAAGCUCAUCAAGUGACGGAAACUACCCAGAAAGGGACGGCUAACUACGU
RNAcentral lists this ribosomal RNA (496 nucleotides) under uncultured bacterium. RNAcentral's name for it is "partial 16S ribosomal RNA". It matches the Rfam family "Bacterial small subunit ribosomal RNA", at positions 28 to 506 of the family's 1533-position model. The record is from RNAcentral.